ACGGAAGGCAGCAGCUAAGAAUAUUCCGCAAUGGAGGAAACUCUGACGGAGCGACGCCGCGUGGGCGAUGAAGGCCGGAAGGUUGUAAAGCCCUUUUAUGACAGAGGAAUAAGGAGGAGAGGGAAUGCUUCUCUGGUGACUGUAGGUCAUGAAUAAGCACCGGCUAAUUACGUGCCAGCAGCCGCGGUAACACGUAAGGUGCGAGCGUUGUUCGGAAUCAUUGGGCGUAAAGGGCAUGUAGGCGGUCUGUCAAGCCAGGCGUGAAAGCCAGGGGCUCAACCCCUGAACUGCGCUUGGAACUGGCGGACUGGAGUCGCUGAGGGGGAACCGGAAUUCCUGGUGUAGGGGUGAAAUCUGUAGAUAUCAGGAAGAACACCGAUGGCGAAGGCAGGUUUCCAGCAGACGACUGACGCUGAGGUGCGAAGGUGCGGGGAGCAAACAGGAUUAGAUACCCUGGUA
This 459-nucleotide ribosomal RNA is filed under the name uncultured Treponema sp. RNAcentral's name for it is "partial 16S ribosomal RNA". It matches the Rfam family "Bacterial small subunit ribosomal RNA", at positions 341 to 792 of the family's 1533-position model. Lineage: Bacteria; Pseudomonadati; Spirochaetota; Spirochaetia; Treponematales; Treponemataceae. The record is from RNAcentral.